This 425-nucleotide ribosomal RNA is filed under the name uncultured bacterium. RNAcentral's name for it is "bacterial SSU rRNA". It matches the Rfam family "Bacterial small subunit ribosomal RNA", at positions 354 to 796 of the family's 1533-position model. The record is from RNAcentral.
GUGGGGAAUAUUGCACAAUGGGGGAAACCCUGAUGCAGCGACGCCGCGUGAGUGAAGAAGUAUCUCGGUAUGUAAAGCUCUAUCAGCAGGGAAGAAAAUGACGGUACCUGACUAAGAAGCCCCGGCUAACUACGUGCCAGCAGCCGCGGUAAUACGUAGGGGGCAAGCGUUAUCCGGAAUUACUGGGUGUAAAGGGUGCGUAGGUGGUAUGGCAAGUCAGAAGUGAAAACCCAGGGCUUAACUCUGGGACUGCUUUUGAAACUGUCAGACUGGAGUGCAGGAGAGGUAAGCGGAAUUCCUAGUGUAGCGGUGAAAUGCGUAGAUAUUAGGAGGAACAUCAGUGGCGAAGGCGGCUUACUGGACUGAAACUGACACUGAGGCACGAAAGCGUGGGGAGCAAACAGGAUUAGAAACCCCAGUAGUCC